CCUCUCUGAGCAUUGCACUAACUCCUUCUACCUCCUUUAAGUCUGUGGUUAAUUGCCACCACUUCAGAAAGGCCUAAUCUCUUACUGAAUGUUCCUUGGAUGGGCCUCAGUUUCCCCAUCUGUAGAUGGAGGAAGCAAAACCACAGGAUCUCUCUGAGAGCUUUCUAGUCUGACAUGCUACAGUUCUGACAUAUAGCUUUUAGGUAUGUAAGAAGGCAUUGAAUGACAAACAGCAGGUGAGUGAAACACAGUUCUAGAGUGUUCUAAGGGCAAAUGACCACUUCCAGCUGCCAGAAUCAGAAGACGCUUAAUGGAGGAGUUGGCUCCUAAAGAACACAGAUGGUUCUUGCCAUGUUGUGCUGGCUGGACUCGAACUCCUGGAUUCAAGCAAUCCUCCUGCGGACUCAGAUGAUCCUUCUGCCUCAGCUUCCUGAGUAGCUGGGGUAAAGCUUAUAAAGUAAAAACUUUGAUAUCCCCAGCAGAAUCAUAACUUUUCACAGAGGCAUCUAAUUUCUUAACCUUAAAGCAGAAGAGAAACGUCUUUCAAAUUUUCCUAUGACGGUCAAGGAGUGGGGGUUGUGGAAUGUAUAUACUUAGAUGAAUUAAACUCAGACCUUCUCCGGUUGGAUGUUUGAGCCGCCCAGACAAAGAUGAAGAUUAACACAGUUUAAGGAUGAAAUAUAGACCAUCCUGUGCAAAACCACCGUGUUGCAGUUUAAUUAAAAGAAUUCAUUAAAGUGGUGCCCCAUCCAGGGUAA
This 758-nucleotide long non-coding RNA is filed under the name Homo sapiens (human). RNAcentral describes it as "HSALNT0381546". Lineage: Eukaryota; Metazoa; Chordata; Mammalia; Primates; Hominidae. The record is from RNAcentral.